Molecule: ribosomal RNA, 463 nt
Filed under: Vreelandella stevensii
Lineage: Bacteria; Pseudomonadati; Pseudomonadota; Gammaproteobacteria; Oceanospirillales; Halomonadaceae
Description: partial 16S ribosomal RNA
Rfam family: Bacterial small subunit ribosomal RNA
Source: RNAcentral
CCUACGGGUGGCUGCAGUGGGGAAUAUUGGACAAUGGGGGGAACCCUGAUCCAGCCAUGCCGCGUGUGUGAAGAAGGCCCUCGGGUUGUAAAGCACUUUCAGUGAGGAAGAACGCCUGGUGGUUAAUACCCAUCAGGAAAGACAUCACUCACAGAAGAAGCACCGGCUAACUCCGUGCCAGCAGCCGCGGUAAUACGGAGGGUGCGAGCGUUAAUCGGAAUUACUGGGCGUAAAGCGCGCGUAGGUGGCUUGAUAAGCCGGUUGUGAAAGCCCCGGGCUCAACCUGGGAACGGCAUCCGGAACUGUCAAGCUAGAGUGCAGGAGAGGAAGGUAGAAUUCCCGGUGUAGCGGUGAAAUGCGUAGAGAUCGGGAGGAAUACCAGUGGCGAAGGCGGCCUUCUGGACUGACACUGACACUGAGGUGCGAAAGCGUGGGUAGCAAACAGGAUUAGAUACCCCGGUUC